Molecule: ribosomal RNA, 200 nt
Filed under: uncultured bacterium
Lineage: Bacteria
Description: partial 16S ribosomal RNA
Rfam family: Bacterial small subunit ribosomal RNA
Source: RNAcentral
AGAGUUUGAUCCUGGCUCAGGACGAACGCUGGCGGCGUGCCUAAUACAUGCAAGUCGAGCGGAGUUGAAGAGGUGCUUGCACCUCAGAUGCUUAGCGGCGGACGGGUGAGUAACACGUAGGCAACCUGCCUACAGGACGGGGAUAACAUUCGGAAACGGAUGCUAAUACCAGAUACACGAUUUUCUCGCAUGAGAGAAUC